GAUGAAGAACACAGCGAAAUGCGAUAAUUAAUGUGAAUUGCAGAAUUCCGUGAAUCAUCGAGUCUUUGAACGCACAUUGCGCCUCAUGGCAUUCCGUGAGGCAUGCCCAUCUCAGCGUUAGAAAAUAUUCUCAAAUUUUAGUUUUGUGCUAAAAUUUGGAUCAUGUCAAGGAAGCUAUUACUAUUAUUGUGAUUGCUCUUUGGAAAUUGAUAGGUCUUUGAGUUGCUACUCAUAGAACGUGAUGAAUCUUUCUUCGUUCUAUUGUAAUUCACUCUGGUAGUCCUAAAAGUUGUAUGCCUGUGGCAUAUCUUGUAAUUUGACCUGAGAUUGGGUAGGGAUACCCGCUGAACUUAAGCAUAUCAAUAAGCGGAGGA
This 374-nucleotide unclassified non-coding RNA is filed under the name soil metagenome. RNAcentral's name for it is "partial contains internal transcribed spacer 2 and large subunit ribosomal RNA". The stretch from base 1 to 120 matches the Rfam family "5.8S ribosomal RNA", at positions 35 to 154 of the family's 154-position model. The record is from RNAcentral.